RNAcentral lists this ribosomal RNA (497 nucleotides) under uncultured bacterium. RNAcentral describes it as "partial 16S ribosomal RNA". It matches the Rfam family "Bacterial small subunit ribosomal RNA", at positions 28 to 507 of the family's 1533-position model. The record is from RNAcentral.
GAUGAACGCUGGCGGCGUGCCUAAUACAUGCAAGUCGAGCGAACAGACGAGGAGCUUGCUCCUCUGACGUUAGGGGCGGACGGGUGAGUAACACGUGGAUAACCUACCUAUAAGACUGGGAUAACUUCGGGAAACCGGAGCUAAUACCGGAUAAUAUAUUGAACCGCAUGGUUCAAUAGUGAAAGACGGUUUUGCUGUCACUUAUAGAUGGAUCCGCGCCGCAUUAGCUAGUUGGUAAGGUAACGGCUUACCAAGGCAACGAUGCGUAGCCGACCUGAGAGGGUGAUCGGCCACACUGGAACUGAGACACGGUCCAGACUCCUACGGGAGGCAGCAGUAGGGAAUCUUCCGCAAUGGGCGAAAGCCUGACGAAGCAACGCCGCGUGAGUGAUGAAGGUCUUCGGAUCGUAAAACUCUGUUAUUAGGGAAGAACAAAUGUGUAAGUAACUAUGCACGUCUUGACGGUACCUAAUCAGAAAGCCACGGCUAACUACGUG